Molecule: non-coding RNA, 72 nt
Organism: Danio rerio (zebrafish)
Lineage: Eukaryota; Metazoa; Chordata; Actinopteri; Cypriniformes; Danionidae
Source: Rfam
AGCAGAGUGGUGCAGUGGAUGAGUGCUGGGCCCAUAACCCAGAGGUCAGUGGCUUGAAACCAUCCUCUGCUA